Long non-coding RNA from Carassius gibelio (silver crucian carp), 787 nucleotides. RefSeq lists it as uncharacterized. The transcript has 3 exons. NCBI's taxonomy places the organism in Eukaryota, Metazoa, Chordata, Actinopteri, Cypriniformes, Cyprinidae. The record is from RefSeq and is a predicted model, not a curated record.
GUGGUCAAGCGCCACUGACGUGGGAUGUUUAUCGCUUUGAAAUCACGUUCAAGAAGUCUCAUUCAGCACACAUCGCGAUACUUUCCAUCAGUUUAGAAGAGCCGCAGGUUGGGUGAGUUAUACAGUCUAUGCUGAAAAGGCGUAAAGGAAGCAGUCACCCCAGUGGUGCUUGUGGAGAGGUAUUCCUUCAGAAAUUGAGAGGACAGAAAGCUGCAGAGGCAGGAUUGUUUCCAGAUAACACUGUAGAUCUCCGUCAUGCACAAGGACUCACCUCUUUAACUCUUUAUCCCCCCCCCACACACACACAGAAAUGGUUCCUGGAUCAGUGACUCAAGACUUUGCAGUGGUUUGAUUUCUGCAGAAGAUGUAACUUUGUUUUAAUUAACCUUAUAAUGAAUACAUUGUGACCUUCCAGCAACCCAUAUACUGCACUGUAUACAGAACCAGUGAUGACAACAAUCGUUAAAAAAUAGCAUUUAUCAUAUUGAUAAAGCAUUGUGUUCUCUUUGUCAAGCUUCAUACAGUAAACUUUACUUCUGGUGCUUUUAUCAUAAAAAAGCAUCAGUUCUGAUCAGGAGUUUUAGUAAAGCACAUAUUCAUGCACAGCAAUCCCCUAGUUCCAGUCAUGAAGUGAAUGAUGUUAUUGUUAAAGUUAUAUUUCUGCAUUUUUAUGUAGCAGGUGUUUGUUUUCCUGAACACUUUAUCUUUCUUCCAUUGUUCGGACAAUCAGUGUUUAUCUGAUGCUGUGCUGAUUGAGUUUUAUAGAUGAUAUUGCACACUUGACAUG